CUCCUAUACUGCAUUUAGCAUGUUAAUAACUUCUAAGUUGUUUCUUUUAACUAUCACUUUCCUAAAUUCAUAUUGUUUUGCAACUCUAACUUCAUGCAGGAUAGCUUCUAGCUCAACACUUACUAUAGACGCUUUACCAAGCCCAGUGGUAAAGCUGUACAACCACUUGCCCAUAGAAUCUUGAAAAAUGCUUCCUCCAUAAGCAAUGUUGUUCCUUUGG
RNAcentral lists this long non-coding RNA (220 nucleotides) under Manihot esculenta (cassava). Its description in RNAcentral is "long non-coding RNA (MESC_LNC006971)". Lineage: Eukaryota; Viridiplantae; Streptophyta; Magnoliopsida; Malpighiales; Euphorbiaceae. The record is from RNAcentral.